RNAcentral lists this ribosomal RNA (1080 nucleotides) under Polytrichastrum alpinum. Its description in RNAcentral is "eukaryotic LSU rRNA". It matches the Rfam family "Eukaryotic large subunit ribosomal RNA", at positions 47 to 1134 of the family's 3401-position model. The record is from RNAcentral. Lineage: Eukaryota; Viridiplantae; Streptophyta; Polytrichopsida; Polytrichales; Polytrichaceae.
UAAGCGGAGGAGAAGAAACUAACCAGGAUUUCCCUAGUAACGGCGAGCGAACCGGAAAGAGCCCAGCUUGAAAAUCGCGUGGUUCCGCCCCGCGAAUUGUAGUCUGGAGAAGCGUCCUCUGCAACGGACCGGACCCAAGUUCCCUGGAACGGGACGUCGGAGAGGGUGAGAACCCCGUCGAGUUCGGACCCUGUUGCUCCACGAGGCGCUGUCUGCGAGUCGGGCUGUUUGGGAAUGCAGCCCUAAGUGGGAGGUAAAUUCCUUCUAAGGCUAAAUACAGGCAAGAGACCGAUAGCGAACAAGUACCGCGAGGGAAAGAUGAAAAGGACUUUGAAAAGAGAGUUAAAAAGUGCUUGAAAUUGCUGGGAGGGAAGCGAAUGGAAGCUGCGGGUGCGCCUCGGUUGGAUGCGGAACGGCGAGAGCUGGUCCGCCGCUCAACGCGGGGCGCUGGUCAGCGUGGGCCAUCGCGGCGGGACAAGAGCAGGCUUUGUUGCCGGCCUAUGCCGUUGUGGUGGCCGAGGGACGAAGCGCGCGCCACUCGUGGCGGGCCUCAGGGCACCUGCGCGCUCGGGACGCUGGCGUAUUGAGCUCUCCAUCCGACCCGUCUUGAAACACGGACCAAGGAGUCUAACAUGUAUGCGAGCCGGUGGGCGGCAAACCCAUUGAGGCGCAAGGAACCUGACAGGUGGGAUCCCCUCGGGGAGCACCAUCGACCGACCGUGAUCUUCUGUGAAAGGUUUGAGUGUGAGCAUACCUGCUGGGACCCGAAAGAUGGUGAACUAUGCCUGAGCAGGGCGAAGCCAGAGGAAACUCUGGUGGAGGCUCGUAGCGAUACUGACGUGCAAAUCGUUCGUCAGACUUGGGUAUAGGGGCGAAAGACUAAUCGAACCAUCUAGUAGCUGGUUCCCUCCGAAGUUUCCCUCAGGAUAGCUGGAGCUCAUGAAGUUUUAUCAGGUAAAGCGAAUGAUUAGAGGCAUCGGGGGUGUAACACCCUCGACCUAUUCUCAAACUUUAAAUAGGUAAGCCGCCAGGGUUGCUUGGUUGAACCCUGGCACAGAAUGAGAGCUCCAAGUGGGCCAU